RNAcentral lists this unclassified non-coding RNA (284 nucleotides) under plant metagenome. RNAcentral describes it as "partial contains small subunit ribosomal RNA, internal transcribed spacer 1, and 5.8S ribosomal RNA". The stretch from base 1 to 53 matches the Rfam family "Eukaryotic small subunit ribosomal RNA", at positions 1778 to 1831 of the family's 1831-position model. The record is from RNAcentral.
GGAAGUAAAAUCGUAACAAGGUUUCCGUAGGUGAACCUACGGAAGGAUCAUUAUUGUAUAACCGAGGUGCGAGGGCUGUCGCUGACCCGAAAGGUCGUGCACGCCCGAGUGCCCUCACACACAUCCAUCUCACCCCUAUGUGCACCACCGCGUGGGUCCCCCUUUGGCUUGUUCGGAGGGGGGCUUACGUUUUCACACAAACUUUGUAUGCAGUGUAGAAUGUAUUUUUUGUUCUUGCGAUCACGCAAUCAAUACAACUUUCAACAACGGAUCUCUUGGCUCUC